AUUGAACGCUGGCGGCAGGCCUAACACAUGCAAGUCGAGCGGAUGAAGGGAGCUUGCUCCUGGAUUCAGCGGCGGACGGGUGAGUAAUGCCUAGGAAUCUGCCUGGUAGUGGGGGAUAACGUCCGGAAACGGGCGCUAAUACCGCAUACGUCCUGAGGGAGAAAGUGGGGGAUCUUCGGACCUCACGCUAUCAGAUGAGCCUAGGUCGGAUUAGCUAGUUGGUGGGGUAAAGGCCUACCAAGGCGACGAUCCGUAACUGGUCUGAGAGGAUGAUCAGUCACACUGGAACUGAGACACGGUCCAGACUCCUACGGGAGGCAGCAGUGGGGAAUAUUGGACAAUGGGCGGAAGCCUGAGCCAGCCAUGCCGCGUGUGUGAAGAAGGUCUUCGGAUUGUAAAGCACUUUAAGUUGGGAGGAAGGGCAGUAAGUUAAUACCUUGCUGUUUUGACGUUACCAACAGAAUAAGCACCGGCUAACUACGUG
This 484-nucleotide ribosomal RNA is filed under the name uncultured bacterium. RNAcentral's name for it is "partial 16S ribosomal RNA". It matches the Rfam family "Bacterial small subunit ribosomal RNA", at positions 30 to 507 of the family's 1533-position model. The record is from RNAcentral.